GACGAACGCUGGCGGCGUGCUUAACACAUGCAAGUCGAGCGGUAAGGCCCUUUCGGGGGUACACGAGCGGCGAACGGGUGAGUAACACGUGGGUGACCUGCCCUCAGCUCUGGGAUAAGCCUGGGAAACUGGGUCUAAUACUGGAUAUGACUCCACGGUGCAUGUCGUGGGGUGGAAAGCCUUGUGCGGCUGAGGAUGGGCCCGCGGCCUAUCAGCUUGUUGGUGGGGUGAGGCCUACCAAGGCGACGACGGGUAGCCGGCCUGAGAGGGCGACCGGCCACACUGGGACUGAGACACGGCCCAGGGCUCCUACGGGAGGCAGCAGUGGGGAAUCUUGCGCAAUGGGCGAAAGCCUGACGCAGCGACGCCGCGUGAGGGAUGACGGCCU
RNAcentral lists this ribosomal RNA (388 nucleotides) under uncultured bacterium. Its description in RNAcentral is "bacterial SSU rRNA". It matches the Rfam family "Bacterial small subunit ribosomal RNA", at positions 28 to 417 of the family's 1533-position model. The record is from RNAcentral.